UUUACCGGAGUACUAUGAAUAUUAAAAAUUUAAAACUCAAAGAACUUGGCGGUGUUUUANACCACUCAGGGGAACCUGUCUCAUAAUCGAUAAUCCACGUUGUACCUGACCUUUUUUUGUAUUCAGUUUGUAUACCGUUGUCGUCAGGUAACUUUUUAGAAAUUAGAAGUUAGCAGCAGAAAUAAAAAAUAAUUUAAUACGUCAAAUCAAGGUGCAGCUAAUGAAAAGGGGAGGAUGGGUUACAAUUAUAUAAUUUAUAAUAACGGAUAGGUAUAUGGAGUAUGUAUUAAUUAUAAGGCGGACUUGAAAGUAAAUUAGGUUAUAUAAAUAACUUGAAUGAGGCUCUGAAACGUGU
This 355-nucleotide ribosomal RNA is filed under the name Terebra sp. MNHN IM 2013-52251. Its description in RNAcentral is "partial 12S ribosomal RNA". Lineage: Eukaryota; Metazoa; Mollusca; Gastropoda; Neogastropoda; Terebridae. The record is from RNAcentral.